GUUAGUCGAUUUUCAUUAGGAUGUAUUCACACCUCUGAUUUCAAGUUUUGCUUAAGGAUUUCCUAACCUUAUGCAAUAUGCGUAUAGAAACGUGUUAUUUUUGUUCGUCCCGGAUUUACCCAGGACAUGGAAUUCAAUUUGUAAGGAACGAUUGUAAGAUAUUCAAAUUUUGCCGUUCAAAAUGUCAUGCUGCAUUCAAGAAGAAGAAGAAUCCAAGAAAAGUCAGAUGGACCAAAGCGUACAGGAAAACUGUAGGCAAAGAAUUGGCAGUGGAUCCAGCAUUUGAAUUUGAAAAAAGAAGAAAUAUACCUGUUAAAUACAAUAGAGAAUUAUGGAACAAGACGAUUGAAGCAAUGAGGAAAGUAGAAACUAUCAGACAGAGAAGACAGAAUCUACAUAUAAUGCAAAGAUUACGUAAAGGACGCGAAUUAGAACAAGAAAGGGAUGUUAAAGAAGUUCAACGUGAUUUGUCUCUCAUAAGAUCACCUGCUGCAGGACUUAAGGAAAGAAAGAAGCUGGAAGAAGCUGCAGAACAAGAAGAAAUGAUGCAAGAAUCGAAUGACGAACAAGAACCAGAAGAAAUGGAAAUGAAUAGUUAAAUUCUUGAUUUCAAACAGAAGCAUCCUUCACAUUACUUUAUACAUUCAUAUCUUGCAUAGAGAAGGGGCGGGAACUCAGGGAAGAGAUGCUUACGCGAAAAGUCCCAACCUCGGAGCAGUACAAUUUUUUAUAAACCUACCAUACUCAACUGUACAACUUUUUGUAAGCCUACAUUUUUUAUUAUUACCACAGGCGAAAUUUAAGUACUCUUAGGUUGAUAGAUUAAUUACCGAAUGCUGUUACAUUCUGUUAUAUCGACUACAGUUGGUAUUAUAAUAUCACAACGAUCUUCAUGGUAAGAACACAGACCAGGUAUAGAAUAAACCUGUCAUCUUAUAUGACUUCGUGUCUUACGUUCUGAAAUACCGACGUAGCUUACAACCUCCUUUUUGCUUUGUUGCGCACUCUACAAUUCAGAACGAUGAUCUAGGGAACUACAUUCGGCCUAAAGGAUCAAUGGAUCACACGGUUGAUAAUUAAAAAAAAAA
Osmia lignaria (orchard mason bee) is the source of this 1088-nucleotide RNA transcript. It is a transcript of the gene named ribosomal protein L24-like, with no coding region annotated. The record is from RefSeq and is a predicted model, not a curated record. Lineage: Eukaryota; Metazoa; Arthropoda; Insecta; Hymenoptera; Megachilidae.